CGAUUACCAACGCGUGCCGGUGCCCGAGAGGGCUUGAAAGGGAACAUGGGUGCAAAUCCCGGGCUGUCCCUGCAACUGUAAGCGGUGAGUGUGAUGUAUGGUGCUUCCGCCAGCCGGCAGGAAGCGGCCACUGGACCAGACGCUCAAUCAUGCGGGGUCCGGGAAGGCUUUGCAUCGCGUGAUGACCCGCGAGCCAGGAGACCUGCCGGUCACGUGGUCGCUCU
This 224-nucleotide non-coding RNA is filed under the name Novosphingobium nitrogenifigens. Lineage: Bacteria; Pseudomonadati; Pseudomonadota; Alphaproteobacteria; Sphingomonadales; Sphingomonadaceae. The record is from RNAcentral.